UACAAGCAACUGAGGAGGGUUGGGCAAACAUGAAGAGGUCCUGCCAGGACCAUGAUAGAACCUGCUGCUUGGAGAGGAGGGAGUCAAUCUGCAGAGGCCAGCACAGAGCAAGGCAGAGAUGGGGGCUGCAAUGCAUGGCUCGUGGUACAGCCCAAUGCUUAUAGAUUGAUGGGUAUUUUUGCAUUUCCUUUCUGAGACGCUGCCUUGAAGGUGUGGCCUCCAUCACUGCCUAAGUGGGAUCUUCAGGAGUUUGAGAUCCUGAUAAUCCAGCUUCCCUUACUCAGCUAUUUCUUAAUCCUUUUAGAUGAUGCGUUAGAGACAGUCCUUGGAAGACAGAGACCCACUUAUCAAACACCAACCAUGCACAUAAGGCAAAGGAACUGCUAGUGCAAUCGGAGAGAGUAACCUGAAGGGAAAGCAGAGGAGAAAUCAGUUUGCAGUGAGCUGUCCAGAAGAUGAUGAGCUCUUAAAGGGAGGCUCUAAUUUUAUGGAAAGAACAUUUGGUAACUCAGGAACUGGGUAGG
Molecule: long non-coding RNA, 524 nt
Organism: Mauremys reevesii (Reeves's turtle)
Lineage: Eukaryota; Metazoa; Chordata; Testudines; Geoemydidae
Exons: 5
Source: RefSeq, a predicted model, not a curated record